AUUUUAUGUGAGUAACUUGGAUCGCUACAAGCUUGAAAUAGACGACAAAAGUUCACAAUAUUUAUAUAAUAUUCGCAAACUGCCGUUUAUUUGGAUGCUUUUGUCUACGCUACGGCCCUUGAUGCAAGCAAUCCUGAUACGGAUAAGCGGUCAAAAGAACAUGAUGUAGCCUAACAAGACAGAAAUACAAGGACCAGGUGUCAGGCGUGUAAACCUGUAACAUUUCAGUUAUUUCAUCAAUAUAUUGUGUUUUUAACGGGUAAAUGUUGGGGCCAGAGUAAUAGACUCUUUCAAGUUGAAGAUGCCAUAAUGAAACACAAUAGUGCAAGGGGUGCAAACAAAAUGGAAUUUCCUGGUGAGAAUAAUAUAUUGAAUAUGGCGUCCUCAAGUAAAAUUGUCUAGUGUUACGCAGAGUAAAGUAAUAAAGUAGGGGGGGGGUUAACUUUGAAAGUAUCCAGCGUGUCAGGCUCUAUCCUUGAAAUAAAGCUGCCCUGCGAGCAAAGUCCUCUCCUAUUUCUUCUCGGCACGGAGAAGCGAGAGAGACUGCAGAACUUGGGUAGAAAUUCAUUUGAGCAUGUGCGAAGGUUGCUAAGCAACUGUCUAUUUCCCAGAAGAAGAUUUAAUAAGUAGUUUCUGGUUUCGUUGUUUCCGGCAUCAAAACCAGUUAUUAAACCAGUAUCAAACCUGAAAUUAUACAUAAUUAUCCAAGUUUUUGGAUUGUCGGCUCCACAAAGAAUAUACACAAGUUUUGCAGAAUCUCUCUCGCUUCUCCGUGCCAUGCCGAGAAGAAAUAUGAGACGACUUUGCUCACAGGGUAAAAUAAAGCCUGCUACGGAGACAAUAAAUGCAUAUGAUUCGUAGUACACACAAAAUUGCCAUUGGUCAGAAUUAGUAGCUUUUCUUUUUAAGGUAAUAUCAAAUUGUUGUUUACGUAAUGAUAUUCCAUACUUGUAAUUGUACUUUAACUACUUUUGACCAUGUUAAUUGCUGCCUUUGCUGUUGAUUAACACAGUCUUUAACCAUUGUUAUUAUUUGGUAUGUAAUUCCUGGCUGUUUAAUUAAUGAAAAAUUAUUGGAAUAUUUCUUUUUAA
Molecule: non-coding RNA, 1091 nt
Organism: Paramuricea clavata
Lineage: Eukaryota; Metazoa; Cnidaria; Anthozoa; Malacalcyonacea; Plexauridae
Source: the annotation of a GenBank genome assembly